GAUGAAAAACGUAGCGAAAUGCGAUAAGUAAUGUGAAUUGCAGAAUUCAGUGAAUCAUCGAGUUUUUGAACGCAUAUUGCGCCCUCUGGUAUUCCGGGGGGCAUGCCUGUUCGAGCGUCAUUAAAUAACCCUCAAGCAUAGCUUGGUGUUGGGCUUUUUUACGUCCUUGACUGGGAUGGGCCUAAAAAUUAGUGGCGAUGGCUUUUUUACUUUCAAGCGUAGUAAAUCUCGUCUUGCUAAAGAGGAAAAAGAUUUUUUUUCUGCCAAAAAUUUUAACAUUUAAAGUUGACCUCGGAUCAGGUAGGAUUACCCGCUGAACUUAAGCAUAUCAAUAAGCGGAGGA
This 343-nucleotide unclassified non-coding RNA is filed under the name soil metagenome. RNAcentral's name for it is "partial contains 5.8S ribosomal RNA, internal transcribed spacer 2, and large subunit ribosomal RNA". The stretch from base 1 to 120 matches the Rfam family "5.8S ribosomal RNA", at positions 35 to 154 of the family's 154-position model. The record is from RNAcentral.